UACGUAGGGGGCAAGCGUUGUCCGGAAUUAUUGGGCGUAAAGAGCGUGUAGGCGGUCCGGUAAGUCGGCUGUGAAAGUCCAGGGCUCAACCCUGGGAUGCCGGUCGAUACUGCCGGACUAGAGUUCGGAAGAGGCGAGUGGAAUUCCCGGUGUAGCGGUGAAAUGCGCAGAUAUCGGGAAGAACACCCGUGGCUAAGGCGGCUCUCUAGUACGGUACUGACGCUGAGACGCGAAAGCGUGGGGAGCGAACAGG
This 253-nucleotide ribosomal RNA is filed under the name uncultured bacterium. RNAcentral describes it as "partial 16S ribosomal RNA". It matches the Rfam family "Bacterial small subunit ribosomal RNA", at positions 524 to 776 of the family's 1533-position model. The record is from RNAcentral.